This 460-nucleotide ribosomal RNA is filed under the name uncultured bacterium. RNAcentral describes it as "partial 16S ribosomal RNA". It matches the Rfam family "Bacterial small subunit ribosomal RNA", at positions 338 to 795 of the family's 1533-position model. The record is from RNAcentral.
CCUACGGGUGGCAGCAGUGAGGAAUAUUGGUCAAUGGACGCGAGCCUGAACCAGCCAUGUAGCGUGAAGGAUGACUGCCCUACGGGUUGUAAACUUCUUUUAUAAAGGGAUAAAGUGAGGUACGUGUGCCUUUUUGUAUGUACCUUAUGAAUAAGGAUCGGCUAACUCCGUGCCAGCAGCCGCGGUAAUACGGAGGAUCCGAGCGUUAUCCGGAUUUAUUGGGUUUAAAGGGCGCGUAGAUGGGUUGUUAAGUCAGUGGUGAAAGUUUGGGGCUCAACCGUAAAAUUGCAAUUGAUACUGUCAGUCUUGAGCACAGUUGAGGUAGGCGGAAUGCGUGGUGUAGCGGUGAAAUGCUUAGAUAUCACGAAGAACUCCGAUUGCGAAGGCAGCUUACUAAACUGCCACUGACAUUGAGGCUCGAAAGUGUGGGUAGCAAACAGGAGUAGAUACCCCUGUAGUC